RNAcentral lists this ribosomal RNA (566 nucleotides) under uncultured rumen protozoa. Its description in RNAcentral is "bacterial SSU rRNA". It matches the Rfam family "Eukaryotic small subunit ribosomal RNA", at positions 119 to 786 of the family's 1831-position model. The record is from RNAcentral.
UUGUGGUUCAUUUCAGACGUUAAAUGGUUAAUUGUAGAAAAACUAGAGCUAAUACAUGCCAAAGCCUCACGGUUGUAUUUAUUAGAUAUCCCAAUUAGGUGAAUCAUAAUAACUUCGCAAAUCUCGGUUUUGCCGAGAUAAAUCAUCCAAGUUUCUGCCCUAUCAUGCUUUCGAUGGUAGUGUAUUGGACUACCAUGGCUUUCACGGGUAACAGGGAACCCCCCCCCCGAUUCUGGAGAAGGAGCCUGAGACCCGUUUUUCUACAUCUACGGAAGGGCGCCGGCGCGUAAAUUGCCCAAUCCUGACUCAGGGAGGUGGUGACAAGAUAUAACAACGCAAUUUCAUUGUGAUUGUAGUGAGGGUAUUCCAAACCGAACCACUAGUACGAUUAGAGGGCAAGUCUGGUGCCAGCAGCCGCGGUAAUUCCAGCUCUAAUAGCGUAUAUUAAAGUUGCUGCAGUUAAAAGCUCGUAGUUGGAUUUCAGGGAUUGUGUACUCUCUCAGAGUAUGCACCCUACUAGUCUUUGACUUGUUACUGUGAGAAAUUAGAGUGGUUUAAAGCAGGCU